RNAcentral lists this ribosomal RNA (253 nucleotides) under uncultured bacterium. Its description in RNAcentral is "partial 16S ribosomal RNA". It matches the Rfam family "Bacterial small subunit ribosomal RNA", at positions 524 to 776 of the family's 1533-position model. The record is from RNAcentral.
UACGUAGGGACCGAGCGUUGUCCGGAAUCAUUGGGCGUAAAGAGCGUGUAGGCGGCCACUUAAGUCCUGCGUGAAAUCUUGCGGCUCAACCGCAAGCGGUCGUGGGAAACUGGGUGGCUAGAGUGCGGGAGAGGAGAGUGGAAUUCCUGGUGUAGCGGUGAAAUGCGCAGAUAUCGGGAGGAACACCGGUGGCGAAGGCGGGUCUCUGGGCCGAUACUGACGCUGAGGAGCGAAAGCGUGGGGAGCGAACAGG